RNAcentral lists this ribosomal RNA (444 nucleotides) under uncultured bacterium. RNAcentral's name for it is "bacterial SSU rRNA". It matches the Rfam family "Bacterial small subunit ribosomal RNA", at positions 337 to 797 of the family's 1533-position model. The record is from RNAcentral.
UCCUACGGGGGGCAGCAGUAGGGAAUAUUGCACAAUGGGCGAAAGCCUGAUGCAGCAACGCCGCGUGCGCGAUGAAGGCCUUCGGGUUGUAAAGCGCUUUUCGGGGAGAUGAGGAAGGACAGUAUCCCCGGAAUAAGGCUCGGCUAACUACGUGCCAGCAGCCGCGGUAACACGUAGGAGUCAAGCGUUAUCCGAAUUCACUGGGCGUAAAGCGCGUGCAGGCGGCUUGGUAAGUUGGAUGUGAAAUCUCCUGGCUCAACUGGGAGAGGACGUUCAAUACUGUCAAGCUAGAGGGCGACAGAGGGAGGUGGAAUUCCCGGUGUAGUGGUGAAAUGCGUAGAUAUCGGGAGGAACACCAGUGGCGAAAGCGGCCUCCUGGGUCGCACCUGACGCUCAGACGCGAAAGCUAGGGGAGCGAACGGGAUUAGAUACCCCGGUAGUCCC